RNAcentral lists this small RNA (29 nucleotides) under Bombyx mori (domestic silkworm). Its description in RNAcentral is "ovarian small RNA-24106". The record is from RNAcentral. Lineage: Eukaryota; Metazoa; Arthropoda; Insecta; Lepidoptera; Bombycidae.
UAUUAGACCUCGUGCUACAUGUUGGCGAU